Molecule: long non-coding RNA, 1183 nt
Organism: Sardina pilchardus (European sardine)
Lineage: Eukaryota; Metazoa; Chordata; Actinopteri; Clupeiformes; Clupeidae
Exons: 3
Source: RefSeq, a predicted model, not a curated record
GUUAGUGUUGAUCAUUUGUUUGGUACCUAUUCCUUCAAGAGGGGUGCCAGUGUCCUGAUGCUGACCAGUGCCACCGGUUCCGCCACUUGCUUCCUGCUGGAGCCUAAGCACCAACUGGAUGAGGGGACUCCUCUCUGUGUUGAAUCCCCGGCUCUCUAAGGCUUUGAAGUGGAGAGUGGUGUCGAACUACAAGACAGCCAGCAUGUAAACAAGGCCUUGUUUGUCCUUGUUUGGCUACUCAUCACUCUUCUACUUCCUGAAGAGGCUGAAGCAUGCUGGCCUUGACACCUCAGUCCUUGCUUCCAUUAACAGCUGUGUUAUGGAGCACAUCGUCAUCAUUGUCUACUACUGCAACGGGUGGAUAAGGAGGGCAAAUGGCAGACACUUGACAUUUACUGCCAAAGGUAACAUCAGAGCACCUCUCCCUACCCUGCAGGACAUCUGUACCAGAGGAGUACAACACCGGCCCAAAAUAUUUCAAAAGACAUUUCACACCCUGACCAUGGACUGUUUAAACCACUAAGGCAGAUGCCUUAGCAUCAAGCAGAUGUCUCUUGUUCCCACAUGGCUAAAAUAGACUGAGGAGUUUCUUCCCUCAAACCAUCCGUAUCCUGAACAAACAUAACUCCUUAAACUACAUUACAUAGACUUGUCAUACUGCACUUACACACACUGCACUUUUUACCCCCUGGGUCAUUCUAUGUCAAAUCAGAAAAUAUUGUUGCUGCACUGUCUCAGGUUUUGUUCAAACCAUUUCUAUAUCAAGGAUGGUCCUAGUCCGAGAACUGGAGUCACACUAGUUUAAUGAUGACAUUAGUUUAGGGUCCUUCAACAUCUACUUUUUAUAUAUAAUUAUUGAGUGGCACUCUUAAUUUUGUAUUGGCCCUUGAUUGCAAAUUGUUCUGUAUGUGGCCUGCAAGCAGAACAAUUUGGCCAACCCUGCCCUACAGUAUCACCCAGAUUAGGCGGAACGCACUUUUCUUUUGUCUCUCUGAACAGUAAAGUUGGAUAGCAAAAUGCACAUAAAAUUUUACAAUAGUUUUUUUCUUGUAUGAAAAGAAUAAUUCUUGUUGUGAAGAAUAAAAAUCAUUGUAAUGAAAUAUUUGAAUGAUCAGUAAUCAGAUAAUUAAGUAAUUACACUGUUGUUUUCCCCUCCAAAUCCCACUGUGCCUUGCACUUUUUG